AUGGGACCACUGCUGCAGAACUCUGCUUGUCUGCCGCUGCAAACGGGGAACUGGUUCUCGAUGGACACGACGCCUGCAGGAACACAUCAGACCCGGGGAAGCCGUCUACCUGCCACCGCCAUCCGACCUCUGCAGCUCAUCCACAUCACAGCAGUUCGACUGGUCACCCAAACUACUCUGCUCCUUUCACUGGUUACCAGUGGCUGCCCACAUCCUUUUCAAAACAUUGGUAUUUGCGAACAGACCAGGUCCAGACUGCAUCCAGGAAAUGGUCAAACCGUACGUCCCUGCACGCUCACGCCGCUCUGCAUCCGCCAAUCUGCCUGUUGCUACAUCACAGGGAGCUCAACGCUCAACAAAAUCCCCACUUUUUGAUGUCCUGGCUCCUAAAUGGUGGAAUCAGCUCCCCAAUGACGUCAGGACAGCAGAAAGCUCAGACAGCUUCCGGCGCAAACCGAAAACAUACCUUUACCGACUAUACCUGGACUAGUUAUAAUGUAAGUAUAGAGAUUUAACGUUUAGUUUCUCUUACCAGGUGUGGUUUUAUGGCCAAAUAUUCCGUUGAAGAAACAGGGCACUCGGAUGCUGCCGCCGAUGUCGGAGCCCACGCCGAUGACUGCGCCUGCUCCUCCCAGAAUGCUGCCCUCCCCCCCUGAGGCCGGCAGAGGAAAAGAGGACGUUAGCGGAGGAAAUGGAUCAGAUUGAUUUGACGUCGGGCGUCGGGCCUGAUGCCGCCAGCGGUUCGGUUUAACGGUUUGAGACCUGAACUUCCUCCUGGGAUCCUGUCGAAGUCGUACGGGUUGUUGGUGAUGCCGUGGAGGUGGUUGUUGGUCUCGCACCACAUGCACAGCUGACUGGUGUUGGUGACGCCCAUCGGGAUGGCGCCCGCUCGCUUCAGCAGGGCCACCGGAGGAGCGUCGACAGCGGCCACCACUCCUUUCCUGGAAACCAUACCGGCGUUGAAGGGCAUCCCUGCAAGAAGAAACGGGUUGAAAAUGCUCAGAAAUCAGAGACAAAGCUGCCUCAAAAUGUUAAAUACAUGUAAUGUUAUCAGUCAAAUGAUACCAGUCACUAGAUGUCACUGGUUUUUAAAGUGUUUGACAGGAGCUUAGAUUCCUGGAGGUUACCAUGGAGGGCGAAGGACUCUUUGACAGAGAGCGGGACUCCCAGUAAAGGCAGUCGAUCCUCCAGCACCGCCUCUCCUCCAGUUUCCUCCUCAAUCAGCACGUCGACCUGCUUCGCCUCCUGCAGGGCCGCAUCGAACCUGCGUUGCCAUGACAGUGGCAAUAUAACAGAAACAGUCAUUUUAUUCAUCAUUUUCUAGACUAUUUGUUCAAUUGUCUUUUGUCUUUUGUUUGUCCUAAAAUAGUGGGAAAUGUCAAGAAAAUAUUACAUUGAAAAAGCUGCAGUAAAGUAAACACAAGAGACAUCAGCGGACAGGAUGGACGGUUUCUCGCCUGUCUUUUGUCACAGCGUUCAGAAAGGGGUUGACCUCCUGGAUCCGGUGGAUGUAAGCUCGCACCACCUCCACACUCGACACCUGCACAAACGCCACAGUUAGACUCACUGAGUACUGUGAUCCGGGGCUUUUCGGGAACAGGUAUGAUAAUGGAGGCCUUGAAGCAGGCUGGUACGUGGCAUGUCUCCAGGGAGGCGUUGAAGAUGUCUGUGAACAGCUGAUCAGCACAAUGCUUCAGGGCGGAGGGAGGGACAGAGUCCGGGCCGGCUAUUUUCCGGACUACUACUACUUUUUUUUUUUUCUGAGUUCUGCUGUAAACCAGGGUUUGCCGUUUCCCGCGGCCACUUUGUUCAGCAGAUGGAAAUUGCACAGACAGGAAGCUGUGUGUGUCCCUGCACAUUUAUGUGUCCCUUCCUUUGUGUUCAGCUAAAGUUGUGCAACAAUAUCUCCACGUGAUUAUGGCAAUAGCUGUUGUGCUGCAUGUUUUGCAUAUAUAAUAAACAUGAUUGUGCUAGUUA
Molecule: non-coding RNA, 1977 nt
Organism: Gasterosteus aculeatus aculeatus (three-spined stickleback)
Lineage: Eukaryota; Metazoa; Chordata; Actinopteri; Perciformes; Gasterosteidae
Source: RefSeq, a predicted model, not a curated record